Molecule: ribosomal RNA, 330 nt
Filed under: uncultured Pseudomonadota bacterium
Lineage: Bacteria; Pseudomonadati; Pseudomonadota
Description: bacterial SSU rRNA
Rfam family: Bacterial small subunit ribosomal RNA
Source: RNAcentral
CGCGUAGGCGGUUUGUUAAGUCAGGCGUGAAAGCCCUGGGCUCAACCUGGGAUGUGCGUUUGAUACUGGCAAGCUUGAGUGCAGGAGAGGAUGGUGGAAUUCCCAGUGUAGAGGUGAAAUUCGUAGAUAUUGGGAAGAACACCGGUGGCGAAGGCGGCCAUCUGGACUGCAACUGACGCUGAGGCGCGAAAGCGUGGGGAGCAAACAGGAUUAGAUACCCUGGUAGUCCACGCUGUAAACGAUGAGUGCUGGACGUUGGCGGGUUUACCUGCCGGUGUCGCAGCUAACGCGUUAAGCACUCCGCCUGGGGAGUACGGCCGCAAGGUUAAA